GCGGCCUUGGUGGAAUGGCAGACACGCAAGCCUUAGAAGCUUGUGAGGGUUACCUCGUGAGGGUUCAAGUCCCUCAGGCCGCA
Molecule: transfer RNA, 83 nt
Filed under: Kitasatospora sp. MAP5-34
Lineage: Bacteria; Bacillati; Actinomycetota; Actinomycetes; Kitasatosporales; Streptomycetaceae
Description: tRNA-Leu
Rfam family: tRNA
About the family: Transfer RNA (tRNA) molecules are approximately 80 nucleotides in length.
Source: RNAcentral